This 308-nucleotide ribosomal RNA is filed under the name uncultured bacterium. RNAcentral's name for it is "partial 16S ribosomal RNA". It matches the Rfam family "Bacterial small subunit ribosomal RNA", at positions 505 to 807 of the family's 1533-position model. The record is from RNAcentral.
GAGACAGCAGUAGCCGCGGUAAUACGAAGAGUGCAAGCGUUACUCGGAAUUACUGGGCGUAAAGCGUGCGUAGGUGGUGGUUUAAGUCCGUUGUGAAAGCCCUGGGCUCAACCUGGGAAUUGCAGUGGAUACUGGGUCACUAGAGUGUGGUAGAGGAUAGUGGAAUUUCCGGUGUAGCAGUGAAAUGCGUAGAGAUCGGAAGGAACAUCUGUGGCGAAGGCGACUAUCUGGGCCAACACUGACACUGAGGCACGAAAGCGUGGGGAGCAAACAGGAUUAGAGACCCCUGUAGUCCCUGUCUCUUAUAC